AUGUGGUUACCAGCAUCAUCUGACAAUUGAUGUUGACGCCAGUGAAUGAGUUCUUUAGUUGGCCAUCAGGGGCUCGUGAUGCAGCCUGAGAGAUCUUCCUAGUUAGUCAAAGAUAUUUAAUUUUUAAAUUCAUAGAAAGUUUAUAUUCUAUUUAUUAAUACACAAUUAUUUUUACUUGCAGGGGUACUAUCGAUUCGAGACUCCUCAGGAUGAAGAGGCUGACCGUCAGACCUUUGAGGAGGUGGCCACAUGG
This 253-nucleotide long non-coding RNA is filed under the name Elaeis guineensis (African oil palm). Its description in RNAcentral is "long non-coding RNA (EGUI_LNC022989)". Lineage: Eukaryota; Viridiplantae; Streptophyta; Magnoliopsida; Arecales; Arecaceae. The record is from RNAcentral.